CAAAAACCCAAGAGGAUUUUCCCAUAGGCUUUUGGAUUGUCGCAAAAAAUACUGCUUCACCCUGACCACACAGCUGUCUGUGCACUUGAACUUUUACGGACUUUUGUGGGUGUCACUACAAUUCAGCUGUGCCAUGCAUGCACUCGGAUCGGUUUUCCAAUAAUCUAUCAGUCCCUCCAGGAAUCCUCGAUUUUGCGAUCGCAGAAAUCGAUAUUCGAAGGAGUCUGCAAAAUGACCACAGAUCUUCCGCAGAUUUGAUUUGAGCCGAGACGCGUCGUGCGGCGACGUCAUCAGCCGAAGCCGUCUUCGAUUCACGAGAUCUCAUCUGGUGAACAAAAGGAUGGUAUCAGCUUGGGGACGGUACCAAGAAUGCCUUUUGACAUCCGACAAGAAACCACAAAACUACAGAAGAUGUUAAAAACGUCAUGUUCUCGGCCAUGACUUGACGGCGGCACAGUUACAGUUAGUUAGGUUCCAGUUUGUUGUGCAUUCAGCUUGGCAAGAUCGAAGGUUCACACUGCAGUAUAUUUAAAAAUAAUCAUUUAAAACGAAUCUUCAGUCAUCAUGGACUGCAAGCCCACAGCGAGUCCCUCUCAGACACGGAUAGGGCACUGACGUUAGUCUAUAAUCUUCGGUGUUGUGUAACUCUUUAAUCCAUUUCUUGUAUAAAUAGCAACACUAACGUUAUUUUCAGGAUAGGAUAACACCCAAAGAGUUCGAUACUGUAUCUAAGACUAUUAAAAGUUAAUGAACUCAUGCAAACGAUGUGCUACCAGAGGGAUGAAAUAUGAGCGCACAUUAGAUCAGCGUUCUGGAAGGAUUGUUCUUGGCAGCGCACUGCACUGUGAAAAAUAAAUUGCAUUU
Molecule: long non-coding RNA, 864 nt
Organism: Ictalurus punctatus (channel catfish)
Lineage: Eukaryota; Metazoa; Chordata; Actinopteri; Siluriformes; Ictaluridae
Exons: 4
Source: RefSeq, a predicted model, not a curated record